AAGCUCUGCUCGUUUUAAGUGUUUUAACUCCCGAUCACCGCUACCCUUUCCGAUUGAUCUGAGCCUCAUAACGUAUGUCAGGGCUCUGCCCGACUAAGUUGUUGCGAUUCGGUCUCGGGACAAGGUUAAGUUAGAGGUAAUUACAGUAGAUUGGGGUAAGAAUUGGAUACGGCACCAACAAGACUUACAGAAGUGGCUCAUUUUGUCAAUUAAAUUAAAUUAAGAAAGUUGUGUUAUGUAAUCAAGUUUAUCCCAUAUCAAAAGCUAACUUUGUAAAACAUGGGUUUAUCCCAUCUAUUUAAUAAAUAAAAUCCGGUGUUUCUAAA
Helianthus annuus (common sunflower) is the source of this 326-nucleotide long non-coding RNA. RefSeq lists it as uncharacterized. The record is from RefSeq and is a predicted model, not a curated record. The transcript has 2 exons. NCBI's taxonomy places the organism in Eukaryota, Viridiplantae, Streptophyta, Magnoliopsida, Asterales, Asteraceae.